UGCUCUGGGGACAAGAUGAUGGAGGAGUGUUUGGACAAAUUUUCCAAAAAGCUGUCGAUCAUCUUGGAGGCACAGGGCGAUGUGAUCGAGACCACACAGAAGGCGUCAAAACGAAGCUGCAAACCUUUGUCAAAGAGGAUGUGCGUCGGUUCAAGGAUGUACGUAAGGAGUUUGAGCGCAGCAGCGAAUGUCUAGAGGGGGCGCUGUCGAGGAACGCCCAGGCCCCGCGGGGGAAACAGCACGAAGUGGAGGAGGCGAGCAACGCUCUGCUCAAC
This is a long non-coding RNA of Larimichthys crocea (large yellow croaker), 275 nucleotides long. RefSeq lists it as uncharacterized. Lineage: Eukaryota; Metazoa; Chordata; Actinopteri; Sciaenidae. The transcript has 4 exons. The record is from RefSeq and is a predicted model, not a curated record.